GUAGUAGAAGUAGUAAUGCUGGUGCUGGCAGUAGAAUAUGUUGUAGGAGUAGAAGUAAAAGUGGUUGUUGUAUAAGUUGUACAAGCAGUUAAACUACUGAUAAUUAUACUAUUGGUGCAAAUUUAAGUGACAGUAGCAGUUACUAUUGUGUUGUUGUUUUAGCAUUUACAGGAAUAGUAGCAGUAAUGGUAGCAAUAGUAGUAUAAAUAAUAAUAACAAUACUAGUAGCAGCAGUAGUAGUAGUAGUUAAGGAAGUAGCAUUAGCAGCAGCAGCAGUAGUAGUAGUAGAAGUAGCAGCAGCAGCAGUAGUAGCAGUAGCAGCAUCAGCAGCAUCAGUAGUAGUAGCAGUAGUAGUAGCAGUAGUAGUUGAAUUACUAGUAGUAGUAGUAGUAGUAGUAGUAGUAGUAGUAGUAGAAGUAGAAGUAGCAGCAGUAGUAGUGGUAGAAGUAGUAGUAGUAGUAACAGCAGCAGCAGCAGCAGCAGUAGUAGUAGAAGUCGCUGCAGCAGGAGUUGUAAUAGUAGCAGCAGCAGCAGUAGAAGUAGUAGUAGUAGCAGCAGCAGCAGGAGUAGUAGCAGCAGCAGCAGUAGCAGCAGCAGUAGCAGCAGUAGUAGUAGUUGAAGCAGUAGUAGUAGUUGAAGUAGUAGUAGUAGUAGUAGUAGUAGCAGUAGUAGCAGCAGUAGUAGUAGUAGUAGUAGUAGUAGUAGUAGUAGUAGUAGAUGUAGUAGUAGUAGUAGUAGUAGUAGUAGAUGUAGAAGUAGCAGUAGUAGUAGUAGUAGUAGUAGCAGUAGUAGUAGUAGUAGUAGUAGUAGUAGUAGGUAGUUGUUGUUGUUGUUGUGGCUGUUGUAAUAGUAGUAGUAGUUUUGCAGAAGUAGUAGUAGUAGUACUAGUAGUAGAAGUAAUAGUAGUAACUUUCAAAGCAAUGUCUACAAGUUUAAAUUCCUUAACCCUGUUCAAGGUGUAUACACACUCAAUAUUUAACUACAGUCCAGCUUUGAAAUUAACAAACUAUCUGAAAAGCCUGUGUGUGAGUCAGAUGUGUCUGCGGCUAAUCUAUUGGUUAUAAAAUAUCACAGCCUUUUCUGAUUGGCUGAGUUCAAAUACAGAAAGUUUACCUGUUAGAUUGAAAUUCUGGAGAAGGCUUAUUGAAGAAAAAUGCAGGUUAAACUUGUUGUUAAAAUGAAGUUAAUGUAAUUUCACAAACAGUAGAGUUAAUGAGUUUUUCCAUUAACAAGAAUUUCUUAAAAUAAUAAUGUAUGGAUAUCAUUUGGAAAGUGACAUGAAAUGUUGUUAAAAAGUGAUGCAUACAAGUGUUUCAGAAGUCUGUCUAGGAAUAGAACAACAACUGAAGCUGACCAGUUGAUGGAAGAUACUGCAGAGUUUGGCAGGGAAAUAACCCAAGACAGCAAAGCGGCUCUUUUGGCGCAUUUACCAAGAGGACUAACAUGGCCACAAACUCUGACCUUGAAGGAUGACCUUGACCUUUCACCACUCAAAAUGUGCAGCUCUAUAAGUUACACAUGCAUGCCAAAUAUCAAGUUGCUAUCUUUAAUAUUGCAAAAGUAUUCAUAAAAUAAGCGAUUUGGGCCACAUAUAUUUGACCUCUGACCUUGCAGUAUGACCUUGACCUUUCACCACUCAAAAUGUGCAGCUCCAUGAGAUACACAUGCAUGCCAAAUAUCAAGUUGCUAUCUUCAAUAUUGCAAAAGUAUUCAUAAAAUGAGCGAUUUUGGCCACAUAUAUUUGACCUCUGACCUUGAAGGAUGACCUUGACCUUUCACCACUCAAAAUGUGCAGCUCCAUGAGAUACACAUGCAUGCCAAAUAUCAAGUUGCUAUCUUCAAUAUAGCAAAAGUUAUUGCAAAAUGUUAAAGUUGGUGCAAACCAACCAACCAACCAACAGACCAACCAACCAACAGACUAACCAACAGACAGGGCAAAAACAAUAUGUCCCCCACUACUAUAGUGGGGGACAUAAAAAUAUUAUCCUUGUGCUCAUGUUCAGCUACAUAUAUUGUAACAUACAUGAAGCAGCUAAAAAUAACUUAAAUUUUUCAUUUUGUUUCUUGUAUAUCGUUUGUACAGGGUUCGUGAAUUGUUACUGUAUAUUACUUGACUUGCUUGUAUUUUGUUACUUUGAAUACAUGUUGUGAAGGUUGCAUUAUACUUUUUAACUUUUAAAGGAGCGCUUGUUCUGUUAUGUAAGGGCCUGAUUUAUGAUUAUGGACCUAGAGGCUUUGUAAGCAUGUAUUAAACAACACUUGUUUGAUCUGAAUAAUUUGUUAAAUAAAUGUAACACAAUUUGUAAUCUGAUGUUAUAUUUUGAUGAAUUGUGAACAAAAUAAUACAUCGAAGAAACUAA
Long non-coding RNA from Dreissena polymorpha, 2360 nucleotides. RefSeq lists it as uncharacterized. The transcript has 2 exons. NCBI's taxonomy places the organism in Eukaryota, Metazoa, Mollusca, Bivalvia, Myida, Dreissenidae. The record is from RefSeq and is a predicted model, not a curated record.